RNAcentral lists this long non-coding RNA (474 nucleotides) under Helianthus annuus (common sunflower). Its description in RNAcentral is "hypothetical non coding rna". The record is from RNAcentral. Lineage: Eukaryota; Viridiplantae; Streptophyta; Magnoliopsida; Asterales; Asteraceae.
AUGAAAAUAUUAUAUGACAGAUUACAUUAUAAUGGUGAUAAAAUAACUGUUCGUCAGGAAGGAAGUGCUGAAAUCGUGUAUCCAAAUUACACUCGUAGAAUCCCAUGCAAGGUAUAACUGUUUUUAGAUUUUUUUGAUUUUAAUAAUUUGUGAUUUUGUUGGAAUCAAUAUCAAAGUUAUUAAUCUUCUUAAUUAGUAUUUAUUUAUUUCUAUUGCUAAGUGGGGUUAGGUCAUUUGGUAGAGGUUCUUGUCUCUUAGUGGGAGGUCUUGGGUUCAAUCGCAAGCAAGGAUGAGUUAUUUGUAAAUAUAGGAGUUUGGAAGAGUAACGUUAGCCAUUCAAAAAAAAUUAUGUCUAUUAAUAUCCAACUUUAUACGUAUAGUUGGUUGUUGUUUGAAACAUUCAAUUCAAAUUGUUACGGAUGAUAUCUUUCAAUCUGAUUACACUAACAUUCAAUUCAAUGGUUAUUUUUCUUA